Molecule: transfer RNA, 69 nt
Filed under: Lepidoblepharon ophthalmolepis
Lineage: Eukaryota; Metazoa; Chordata; Actinopteri; Pleuronectiformes; Citharidae
Description: tRNA-Ala
Rfam family: tRNA
About the family: Transfer RNA (tRNA) molecules are approximately 80 nucleotides in length.
Source: RNAcentral
UAGGCUUUAUCUUAAUUAAAGUGUCUGUUUUGCAUACAGAAGAUGUAGGAUAAGAACCUGCAAGUCUUA